Molecule: transfer RNA, 73 nt
Filed under: Ixodes scapularis (black-legged tick)
Lineage: Eukaryota; Metazoa; Arthropoda; Arachnida; Ixodida; Ixodidae
Rfam family: tRNA
About the family: Transfer RNA (tRNA) molecules are approximately 80 nucleotides in length. Their secondary structure includes four short double-helical elements and three loops (D, anti-codon, and T loops). Further hydrogen bonds mediate the characteristic L-shaped molecular structure. tRNAs have two regions of fundamental functional importance: the anti-codon, which is responsible for specific mRNA codon recognition, and the 3' end, to which the tRNAs corresponding amino acid is attached (by aminoacyl-tRNA synthetases). tRNAs cope with the degeneracy of the genetic code in two manners: having more than one tRNA (with a specific anti-codon) for a particular amino acid; and 'wobble' base-pairing, i.e. permitting non-standard base-pairing at the 3rd anti-codon position.
Source: Rfam by way of RNAcentral
CCCUGGUUAGCUCAGUUAGUAGAGCGCUCCACCUGUAAUGGAGAGGUCCCGGGUUCGAUACCCGGACCAGGCG